Molecule: ribosomal RNA, 253 nt
Filed under: uncultured bacterium
Lineage: Bacteria
Description: partial 16S ribosomal RNA
Rfam family: Bacterial small subunit ribosomal RNA
Source: RNAcentral
UACGGGGGGUGCGAGCGUUGUCCGGAAUCACUGGGCGUAAAGGGCGCGUAGGUGGUUUGAUAAGGGUGUGGUGAAAGUCCGGGGCUCAACCCCGGAUCUGCCGUGCCGACUGUCAAACUCGAGGGCUGUAGAGGCAGACGGAAUUCCGGGUGUAGCGGUGGAAUGCGUAGAGAUCCGGAAGAACACCGGUGGCGAAGGCGGCCUGCUGGGCAGUAGCUGACACUGAGGCGCGACAGCGUGGGGAGCAAACAGG